UGAGUGUGUGUUUUCACUUGAGGUCCUCC
Molecule: non-coding RNA, 29 nt
Filed under: Mus musculus (house mouse)
Lineage: Eukaryota; Metazoa; Chordata; Mammalia; Rodentia; Muridae
Source: RNAcentral